Long non-coding RNA from Girardinichthys multiradiatus, 784 nucleotides. RefSeq lists it as uncharacterized. NCBI's taxonomy places the organism in Eukaryota, Metazoa, Chordata, Actinopteri, Cyprinodontiformes, Goodeidae. The transcript has 2 exons. The record is from RefSeq and is a predicted model, not a curated record.
AAGCAGUUUCUCUGAUCUCCUUGUUUUUCUCCCCCUGCCUUGCAGAUCACCCUUUGCUGAAGGAAGUCGUGGAAGCUUUAUGGUCUCUGUUUUCACUUCUGUCAUGUUCAGAGGAGUUUGGGAACUCCAGCCUCGACACCUCAGCCCUGAGCCUCCUCUCUGCUUCCAACUCCAAGCCCAGCUUCUCAGGAGCGACCUAAAAACCACCCAUCAACCUGCCUGUCCACCUUCCAACGUUAAAACUCCAACCAUAGUGGAGUUUCCUGGAAGAGAAGAAACUAAGCACUUCAUCCUCCGAAAACUGUUCCAGCCUCAAGCCACCGUGGAGAAGGACUUAUUUCCGCCCGGUCUUGCCAAGAACCCCCCCCCCCCCUAGAAACCCUGCGUUUGUCCGCCAGCUCCAGUCCUGGUUCCAGUCCAACCUUUAUCCGUAUUUCUAAAACUGAUAAAACACAUCCAUGAUCCAUUAACUGUAAAAUGUUACAUAUAUAUGUAUCCAUUUAUAUUUCUCUUACCCUAACAGCAGUUUGCGACAAUACAGUAUAUCCAGCUCACGAUAAAGGAAGAUACAGAAGAAAAAGAUUACAUUUUACCAAUAAUUUGGGAAAACUAAGAAUCCAGAUUUUCACAAGAAGAGGAAAACUGUUUUAAAGAAUCUCUAAUCGGUGAAGAAUAUUCAAAAUCAUCUUAGGCUACUCUAAGAUGGGCCUAAUGCCAUAAAGCACUGAAAAUGUUUCAAUUUUCCUGUUUUCACAAAUAAAGUAAAGGUUUGCUAAAUCUCAAA